This is a long non-coding RNA of Lutra lutra (Eurasian river otter), 1096 nucleotides long. RefSeq lists it as uncharacterized. NCBI's taxonomy places the organism in Eukaryota, Metazoa, Chordata, Mammalia, Carnivora, Mustelidae. The transcript is spliced from 3 exons. The record is from RefSeq and is a predicted model, not a curated record.
UUAUAGAUUUUGGAUACUAGCCCUUUAUCUGAUAUGUCAUUUGCAAAUAUCAUCUCCCAUUCCAUCAGUUGUCAUUUGGUUUUGUUGACUCUCUCCUUUGCUGUGCACAAGCUUUUUAUCUUGGUGAUUGAGAUCUGUUCUAACUUCUAUUGAUUAACAGCUGGAAAAUCCAAACCAGGUGUGUAACUGCUUUGGUAGAGUUCUUUCAGAGUCAUGACAACGCUGCUUUAAAGUGAGAGGAGCUCCUGGGAAGGUAGAUACUUAGUGAAAUAGGGGGAACAAUUUACUUUGUCGAGAAUGUUAUCUUCACUUUUGUCAAAUCUUAAAAGCGUUGCCAUCAGGUUCUGAGUUGUCAGCAACCCAUGGUCAUUAUUACUUUCUCAGAAUGUCAUGUAAUUAAAAACAGGAAGAGUAGUAGCAACGACAUGAAUUUUAGAAUUUGUCUCAGUUUGGUUUCCUUCGAAAGUAGACCUGGAGAUAGAGAUUUAGUGUUGGUUGUUUAUACAGGAAGUAAUAACAAGAAGCACACUGGAGGAAGUGGGGAAAGUAAGACAGGAAGGGGAAAGAGCCAAUAAAGGACAUAUUUUAUGAGUAAGUUAUUACCACUAUGAGCAACUGGGGGUCACUGGUAUAGGAGGCUCUCCAGAAGCCACUCAGAAUGUGCCAAAGGCUGACAUUUAACCACUCUGUCCAACCCCUGUUGGUUGAGGGUUGUCCCAGGGCACAUUAAAUUCCCAUCUCCCACUUUUCCAGGUUGUGUUCCUUGCAAAUACCUAUGGUCAUCAGAAAGUCUUCAGACAAAGGAAAUAAGAAAGAAAGACAUCCGACCCAGAGUUGCCAGUGGACAGUUGCCCAAUGUGCCUGCUGGUGCACUCAAAACUUCCCUUCUCAUAAUUCAGAACAACCAUUUAUCAACUUCCCACUUCUCUUCAUUGGAAAAGUUGAGGGUUAUCUCCAAAUGGUUCUUGGAUUGUAAGGCAGAGGGAGAAAAACAUUUGCAUCCUGGGAGAAGAUUCCUCUGAUGGAGUUUGUUGAGAGAGAGAUCACAAGGAGGCAGAGACGCAGGCAGAGAGAGAGAGAGGAGGAAGCAGGCUCC